This 514-nucleotide ribosomal RNA is filed under the name uncultured bacterium. RNAcentral describes it as "partial 16S ribosomal RNA". It matches the Rfam family "Bacterial small subunit ribosomal RNA", at positions 28 to 523 of the family's 1533-position model. The record is from RNAcentral.
GAUGAACGCUGGCGGCGUGCCUAAUACAUGCAAGUCGAGCGAACAGAUGAGAAGCUUGCUUCUCUGAUGUUAGCGGCGGACGGGUGAGUAACACGUGGGUAACCUACCUAUAAGACUGGGAUAACUCCGGGAAACCGGGGCUAAUCCCGGAUAAUAUUUUGAACCGCAUGGUUAAAAAGUUACAGAAGGUUUCGGCUGUCACUUAUAGAUGGACCCGCGCCGUAUUAGCUAGUUGGUAAGGUAACGGCUUACAAAGGCGACAAUACGUAGCCGACCUGAGAGGGUGAUCGGCCACACUGGAACUGAGACACGGUCCAGACUCCUACGGGAGGCAGCAGUAGGGAAUCUUCCGCAAUGGGCGAAAGCCUGACGGAGCAACGCCGCGUGAGUGAUGAAGGUCUUCGGAUCGUAAGACUCUGUUAUUAGGGAAGAACAAAUGUGUAAGUAACUGUGCACAUCUUGACGGUACCUAAUCAGAAAGCCCCGGCUAACUCCGUGCCAGCCGCCGCCGUAA